RNAcentral lists this ribosomal RNA (256 nucleotides) under uncultured bacterium. RNAcentral's name for it is "partial 16S ribosomal RNA". It matches the Rfam family "Bacterial small subunit ribosomal RNA", at positions 521 to 776 of the family's 1533-position model. The record is from RNAcentral.
UACGUAGGGGGGGGCAAGCGUUGUUCGGAAUUACUGGGCGUAAAGGGCGCGUAGGCGGCCUGCUAAGUCGGACGUGAAAUCCCUCGGCUCAACCGAGGAACUGCGUCCGAUACUGGUGGGCUUGAAUCCGGGAGAGGGAUGUGGAAUUCCAGGUGUAGCGGUGAAAUGCGUAGAUAUCUGGAGGAACACCGGUGGCGAAGGCGGCAUCCUGGACCGGUAUUGACGCUGAGGCGCGAAAGCUAGGGGAGCAAACGGG